UAAUACGUAGGUGGCAAGCGUUACUCGGAAUCACUAGGCGUAAAGCGCAGGUAGGCGGUUGGAUAAGUUUCUUGUGAAAGCUCCCGGCUUAACUGGGAGAGGCCAAGGAAUACUGUUCGACUAGAGUGUGGUAGGGGAAACUGGAAUUCCCGGUGUAGCGGUGAAAUGCGUAGAUAUCGGGAGGAAUACCUAUGGCGAAAGCAAGUUUCUGGGCCAUCACUGACGCUGAGCUGCGAAAGCUAGGGGAGCAAACAGGAUUAGAUACCCUGGUAGUCCUAGCCCUAAACGAUGUUCAUUAGAUGUGGGAGGUAUCGACCCCUUCCGCGUCGGCGCUAACGCAUUAAAUGAACCGCCUGGGGAGUACGGCCGCAAGGUUG
RNAcentral lists this ribosomal RNA (377 nucleotides) under uncultured bacterium. RNAcentral's name for it is "bacterial SSU rRNA". It matches the Rfam family "Bacterial small subunit ribosomal RNA", at positions 521 to 896 of the family's 1533-position model. The record is from RNAcentral.